CCGCCUACAAAGUAUUGCUCGACUACAAUGAUACUGUGAGGGAAGGACAUUAUUUGACUUCUUCUUACUGACGGUAUCCAAAAUGUGUCAAAGGGUGACAGCUUCCACUUGAUUAAUUCCCUAAAUACGCAUUUGAGCGGAGCACGUACGAACAGGAUCCAUGUGGAAACAAGCUAUGUCAUGGGACAGCAGGAUAGAGUAAUAGCUGUGAUUGAUCACCAUGUGUAAUAGAGAUACCACGUUCCCUGUCUUUUCCAAUGCGUGUAGCUAUUGCAGACAUUUCUGACAUCUCUGUUUUAUUAGCAGCAAAAGCAGCCUGACACGCGCUCUGAAUUAGUUAGCACUAAGCACAGGACAGACUGAACCAAUUACUCUAGCCUUGACAACGUGUCCACGAGCACAAACUGCCAAGCUACAAAUUCCAGUCGGGGGAGGACAUUUUCAAAAUAUCUUUUGGCUGUGAUGACUGCAAUUUCCAGCUGUGCACUUUUCAACUGUGUCAAAGCAAAAGUCUGGGUUGUUACAUGAGAGUGUCUGCUUCACGCAUGCCUCAUGCAACUUGCGCACAAUGUAGGUCCCAAUAGGUUAAACGUUCUAAUAAAUGUGAUAAAAGUCAUUGAAUCUGGAGAUCAAAUAGCUUUUGAGCACAUAUCCGCAUAAGGAGACCAUGGGGUGGAUUUAACAAUAGCAUAUAAAUGAUAGGUGAGGGGAGCGAGAGCUGGAAAGAGGGAUGGGCCUGGCAGCAAUAUGCAUGUGGAUGUGCUGAGCGGAACAUAACAUAUUUUCCUCCUCCGGAUGAGGGAGAGACUUGCAAGGAUUUGAGCGGCUGUCUCGUCUUGUUUGUUCAUCAUCUUCCAUCUAAAUCGCUUCACAGGCACCAGGACGAUGCUUCCAGCCAGAUAAGGUGUUUUGACAACUUCAAGUGCAUUUCAGGCAGGUGGAAUCAUCUAAUUUCUGCGAGUCAGAUCACGAGCUGGAAGCUCUAUGAAUGGACGCUUUUGUUAUAAGUUUGCAUUCUCUUCAGGCUGCCUUUGGGGUUUGUGCAUCCACUAAUGUACUGUUGAGGAAUUACAACGGAUGAAGAAUUUGCUCCAAUGGGAUUAUGAGGUGCACACUUGCCUGAUGGGCACGUCAAGCUUGACAACAUCCAACUAUCCGCUGUUUCAUCCUCCGUUGAAGAAAGACAAAAUGAUGGUUGUAAUGUGACUGAAAACAUCUACCCCGUCAUGACAGGGUGGACAGCAAUUGUACAUGCAAAAUGUUCAAUACGAUUAUAAAAAUAGAAUACACAUGAUGAAAACGACUUGUUUUAUCAAAUAACAGGUUGUGGACAGUAAAACUAUGUGGAUUUAUUCAUUAAUUUUUUUCCAUUUAGUAUCAUUUCACCACUUAUUCCAGACACUGUAGUUAGCAGUGUCUGGGACAUGCCAAAAUCACAUGCAUUCAUUGCAAAGAAAUGUAUAAAAUGAAGGAAACACAUUUUAAGAGACUUUUCAUUGUAUUUGUGUGUGUGCAAAUGUUUGGGCACUUUUAAUAAGACCUCAGAGUUUAAUUAUUUUGCAACAUUUUUGUGAUUCUGGUGAGUACACCAAAGGUACUUCAUAGCGAUAUAUUGACCCGUAUGUCCUAAAAUGCUUAAAAUCUCUAAGACCACUCUUGUUUUGAAGACCCGUAAAAGGUGAUCAAAAACUGGUACACGUCUAUGAAGUUUAUGUCUGUAGCGCCCCGAUAGUGUCGUGCACAGCUGCUGUCCUAAAAGCCCUUCGCCAUCUGGUCUUGUGCACUCAGUCUUCUUCCACCUUUCUGUGGUCAUCCAUGCAGACAGCCUGUGCACAUCUGGUCUCCUGCUCAGUGAGGAGCACUUUGUGACAGCAGGUCACACAAGUUCAGCAGUUUUAAUAUCCCACUGGAAACAUCGUUCCUCAGAAACCUCCGAAACCACUGUAACCAGUUGGUAUGCA
Molecule: long non-coding RNA, 1961 nt
Organism: Phyllopteryx taeniolatus (common seadragon)
Lineage: Eukaryota; Metazoa; Chordata; Actinopteri; Syngnathiformes; Syngnathidae
Exons: 3
Source: RefSeq, a predicted model, not a curated record